GACGAACGCUGGCGGCGUGCCUAACACAUGCAAGUCGAACGGAGCUAUUGACUUCGGUUGAUAGCUUAGUGGCGAACGGGUGAGUAACGCGUGAGCAACCUGUCUUUCAGAGGGGGAUAACAACGAGAAAUCGUUGCUAAUACCGCAUAAGACCACACUGUCGCAUGGCAGAGGGGUAAAAGGAGCAAUCCGCUGAUUGAGGGGCUCGCGUCCCAUUAGAUAGUAGGUGAGGUAACGGCUCACCUAGUCUGCGAUGGGUAGCCGAGCUGAGAGGCUGAACGGCCACACUGGAACUGAGACACGGUCCAGACUCCUACGGGAGGCAGCAGUGGGGAAUAUUGGGCAAUGGGCGAAAGCCUGACCCAGCAACGCCGCGUGAGGGAAGAAGGUCUUCGGAUUGUAAACCUCUGUUCUUGGUGACGAAAAGAUGACGGUAGCCAAGGAGAAAGCCCCGGCUAACUACGUGCCAGCAGCCGCGGUAAUAGUC
This 487-nucleotide ribosomal RNA is filed under the name uncultured bacterium. RNAcentral describes it as "bacterial SSU rRNA". It matches the Rfam family "Bacterial small subunit ribosomal RNA", at positions 28 to 526 of the family's 1533-position model. The record is from RNAcentral.